RNAcentral lists this non-coding RNA (117 nucleotides) under Chlorocebus sabaeus (green monkey). Lineage: Eukaryota; Metazoa; Chordata; Mammalia; Primates; Cercopithecidae. The record is from Rfam by way of RNAcentral.
GCCGGGCGCGGUGGCUCACGCCUGUAAUCCUAGCACUUUGGGAGGCCGAGGCGGGUGGAUCACCUGAGGUCGGGAGUUCAAGACCAGCCUGACCAACAUGGAGAAACCCCGUCUCUA